ACCGGGGGGGGUGCUUACCAUGCAAGUCGAACGAUGAAGCCCAGCUUGCUGGGUGGAUUAGUGGCGAACGGGUGAGUAACACGUGAGUAACCUGCCCCCGACUCUGGGAUAAGCCCGGGAAACUGGGUCUAAUACCGGAUAUUACCUUUGACCGCAUGGUUGUUGGUGGAAAGAUUUAUCGGUGGGGGAUGGACUCGCGGCCUAUCAGCUUGUUGGUGAGGUAAUGGCUCACCAAGGCGACGACGGGUAGCCGGCCUGAGAGGGUGACCGGCCACACUGGGACUGAGACACGGCCCAGACUCCUACGGGAGGCAGCAGUGGGGAAUAUUGCACAAUGGGCGAAAGCCUGAUGCAGCGACGCCGCGUGAGGGAUGACGGCCUUCGGGUUGUAAACCUCUUUCAGUAGGGAAGAAGCGAAAGUGACGGUACCUGCAGAAGAAGCGCCGGCUAACUACGUGCCAGCAGCCGCGGUAAUACGUAGGGCGCAAGCGUUAUCCGGAUUUAUUGGGCGUAAAGAGCUCGUAGGCGGUUUGUCGCGUCUGCCGUGAAAGUCCGAGGCUCAACCUCGGAUCUGCGGUGGGUACGGGCAGACUAGAGUGAUGUAGGGGAGACUGGAAUUCCUGGUGUAGCGGUGAAAUGCGCAGAUAUCAGGAGGAACACCGAUGGCGAAGGCAGGUCUCUGGGCAUUUACUGACGCUGAGGAGCGAAAGCAUGGGGAGCGAACAGGAUUAGAUACCCUGGUAGUCCAUGCCGUAAACGUUGGGCACUAGGUGUGGGGGACAUUCCACGUUUUCCGCGCCGUAGCUAACGCAUUAAGUGCCCCGCCUGGGGAGUACGGCCGCAAGGCUAAAACUCAAAGGAAUUGACGGGGGCCCGCACAAGCGGCGGAGCAUGCGGAUUAAUUCGAUGCAACGCGAAGAACCUUACCAAGGCUUGACAUGUGCCAGACCGCCUCAGAGAUGGGGUUUCCCUUCGGGGCUGGUUCACAGGUGGUGCAUGGUUGUCGUCAGCUCGUGUCGUGAGAUGUUGGGUUAAGUCCCGCAACGAGCGCAACCCUCGUUCCAUGUUGCCAGCACGUAGUGGUGGGGACUCAUGGGAGACUGCCGGGGUCAACUCGGAGGAAGGUGGGGAUGACGUCAAAUCAUCAUGCCCCUUAUGUCUUGGGCUUCACGCAUGCUACAAUGGCCGGUACAAUGGGUUGCGAUACUGUGAGGUGGAGCUAAUCCCUAAAAGCCGGUCUCAGUUCGGAUUGGGGUCUGCAACUCGACCCCAUGAAGUCGGAGUCGCUAGUAAUCGCAGAUCAGCAACGCUGCGGUGAAUACGUUCCCGGGCCUUGUACACACCGCCCGUCAAGUCACGAAAGUUGGUAACACCCGAAGCCGAUGGCCUAACCACCUUGUGUGGGGGGAGUCGUCGAAGGUGACUGCGAGUA
RNAcentral lists this ribosomal RNA (1432 nucleotides) under Arthrobacter sp. RNAcentral describes it as "bacterial SSU rRNA". It matches the Rfam family "Bacterial small subunit ribosomal RNA". The record is from RNAcentral. Lineage: Bacteria; Bacillati; Actinomycetota; Actinomycetes; Micrococcales; Micrococcaceae.